This 931-nucleotide ribosomal RNA is filed under the name Salmonella enterica. RNAcentral's name for it is "partial 23S ribosomal RNA". It matches the Rfam family "Bacterial large subunit ribosomal RNA", at positions 582 to 1519 of the family's 2925-position model. The record is from RNAcentral. Lineage: Bacteria; Pseudomonadati; Pseudomonadota; Gammaproteobacteria; Enterobacterales; Enterobacteriaceae.
CCCUUUGGGUGUGACUGCGUACCUUUUGUAUAAUGGGUCAGCGACUUAUAUUCUGUAGCAAGGUUAACCGAAUAGGGGAGCCGGAGGGAAACCGAGUCUUAACCGGGCGUUAAGUUGCAGGGUAUAGACCCGAAACCCGGUGAUCUAGCCAUGGGCAGGUUGAAGGUUGGGUAACACUAACUGGAGGACCGAACCGACUAAUGUUGAAAAAUUAGCGGAUGACCUGUGGCUGGGGGUGAAAGGCCAAUCAAACCGGGAGAUAGCUGGUUCUCCCCGAAAGCUAUUUAGGUAGCGCCUCGUGAAUUCAUCUCCGGGGGUAGAGCACUGUUUCGGCUAGGGGGCCAUCCCGGCUUACCAACCCGAUGCAAACUGCGAAUACCGGAGAAUGUUAUCACGGGAGACACACGGCGGGUGCUAACGUCCGUCGUGAAGAGGGAAACAACCCAGACCGCCAGCUAAGGUCCCAAAGUCAUGGUUAAGUGGGAAACGAUGUGGGAAGGCCCAGACAGCCAGGAUGUUGGCUUAGAAGCAGCCAUCAUUUAAAGAAAGCGUAAUAGCUCACUGGUCGAGUCGGCCUGCGCGGAAGAUGUAACGGGGCUAAACCAUGCACCGAAGCUGCGGCAGCGACACUGUGUGUUGUUGGGUAGGGGAGCGUUCUGUAAGCCUGUGAAGGUGUGUCGUGAGGCAUGCUGGAGGUAUCAGAAGUGCGAAUGCUGACAUAAGUAACGAUAAAGCGGGUGAAAAGCCCGCUCGCCGGAAGACCAAGGGUUCCUGUCCAACGUUAAUCGGGGCAGGGUGAGUCGACCCCUAAGGCGAGGCCGAAAGGCGUAGUCGAUGGGAAACGGGUUAAUAUUCCCGUACUUGGUGUUACUGCGAAGGGGGGACGGAGAAGGCUAUGUUGGCCGGGCGACGGUUGUCCCGGUUUAAGCGU